This 465-nucleotide ribosomal RNA is filed under the name uncultured bacterium. RNAcentral describes it as "partial 16S ribosomal RNA". It matches the Rfam family "Bacterial small subunit ribosomal RNA", at positions 28 to 507 of the family's 1533-position model. The record is from RNAcentral.
GAUGAACGCUGGCGGCGUGCUUAACACAUGCAAGUCGAACGGAAAGGCUCCUGCUUGCAGGGGUACUCGAGUGGCGAACGGGUGAGUAACACGUGGGUGAUCUGCCCUGCACUUCGGGAUAAGCCUGGGAAACUGGGUCUAAUAGCGGAUAGGACCACAUUUUGGAUGGUGUGGUGGAAAGUUUUUCGGUGUGGGAUGAGCUCGCGGCCUAUCAGCUUGUUGGUGGGGUAAUGGCCUACCAAGGCGUCGACGGGUAGCCGGCCUGAGAGGGUGUACGGCCACAUUGGGACUGAGAUACGGCCCAGACUCCUACGGGAGGCAGCAGUGGGGAAUAUUGCACAAUGGGCGCAAGCCUGAUGCAGCGACGCCGCGUGGGGGAUGACGGCCUUCGGGUUGUAAACUCCUUUCGCUAGGGACGAAGCGCAAGUGACGGUACCUGGAGAAGAAGCACCGGCUAACUACGUG